GACGAACGCUGGCGGCGUGCUUAACACAUGCAAGUCGAACGGAAAGGCCCUGCUUUUGUGGGGUGCUCGAGUGGCGAACGGGUGAGUAACACGUGAGUAACCUGCCCUUGACUUUGGGAUAACUUCAGGAAACUGGGGCUAAUACCGGAUAGGAGCUCCUGCUGCAUGGUGGGGGUUGGAAAGUUUCGGCGGUUGGGGAUGGACUCGCGGCUUAUCAGCUUGUUGGUGGGGUAGUGGCUUACCAAGGCUUUGACGGGUAGCCGGCCUGAGAGGGUGACCGGCCACAUUGGGACUGAGAUACGGCCCAGACUCCUACGGGAGGCAGCAGUGGGGAAUAUUGACAAUGGGCGGAAGCCUGAUGCAGCAACGCCGCGUGCGGGAUGACGGCCUUCGGGCUGUAAACCGCUUUCGCCUGUGACGAAGCGUGAGUGACGGUAAUGGGUAAAGAAGCACCGGCUAACUACGUG
This 467-nucleotide ribosomal RNA is filed under the name uncultured bacterium. RNAcentral describes it as "partial 16S ribosomal RNA". It matches the Rfam family "Bacterial small subunit ribosomal RNA", at positions 28 to 507 of the family's 1533-position model. The record is from RNAcentral.